GAUGAAGAACGUAGCGAAAUGCGAUACUUGGUGUGAAUUGCAGAAUCCCGUGAACCAUCGAGUCUUUGAACGCAAGUUGCGCCCGAAGCCAUUAGGCCGAGGGCACGCCUGCCUGGGCGUCACACGUCAUUGCCCCCCCCAUCUACUCCUUCGGGAUUGCGGGGGGCGGAUGAUGGCCUCCCGUGUGCCUCGCCGCGCGGUUGGCAUAAAUGCCAAGUCCUCGGCGACGCACGCCACGACAAUCGGUGGUUGCGAAACCUCGGUUGCCCGUCGUGUGCGGUCGUCGCGCAUCGAGGGCUCGAAAAAAUUGCCGGGUUCCGGCUCGGCUUUCAACGCGACCCCAGGUCAGGCGGGGUUACCCGCUGAAUUUAAGCAUAUCAAUAAGCGGAGA
RNAcentral lists this unclassified non-coding RNA (391 nucleotides) under soil metagenome. Its description in RNAcentral is "partial contains 5.8S ribosomal RNA, internal transcribed spacer 2, and large subunit ribosomal RNA". The stretch from base 1 to 122 matches the Rfam family "5.8S ribosomal RNA", at positions 35 to 154 of the family's 154-position model. The record is from RNAcentral.